Non-coding RNA from Otolemur garnettii (small-eared galago), 261 nucleotides. The record is from Rfam. NCBI's taxonomy places the organism in Eukaryota, Metazoa, Chordata, Mammalia, Primates, Galagidae.
GCCAGGCGUUGUGGCGGGCGCCUGUGGUCCCAGCUACUUGGGAGGUGGAGGCAGGAGAAUCUCUUGAGCCCAGGAGUUGGAGGUUGCUGUGAGCUGUGAUGCCAUGGCACUCUACCCAGGUGGACAGCUUGAGGCUCCAUCUUUUUUUUUUUUUUUUUUUUUUGAGACAGAGCCUCCAGUUAUCCCCCUGGAUAGAGUGCCGUGGAAUUACAGCUCACAGCAACCUCCAACUCCUGGGCUCAAGCGAGUCUCCUGCCUCUG